AUUCCUGGUUUCUUUGCUAAAUCGGAACCACACCAAUCCAUCCCGAACUUGGUUGUUAAACGGUUUAGGAGUGAAGAUACUGAAAGGGUGGCCUUUUGGGAAAAUAACUUGAUGCCAGGAAU
RNAcentral lists this ribosomal RNA (122 nucleotides) under Myrmecia israelensis. Lineage: Eukaryota; Viridiplantae; Chlorophyta; Trebouxiophyceae; Trebouxiales; Trebouxiaceae. The record is from RNAcentral.